UUUUGGUUUCAAACCAUCCAGUUGGUGGCGGCAAUACACCUUUUUGAAUGUAGUCCGCCAUAAAACCCACAGAAGAAGAAGACGAAUACGAAGAUGAAGAAGAAGAAAGCGAAAACGGAAAAAACGAAAACGACAAAGAAGAAGAAGAAAACAAAGAAGAAGAAGAAAACAAAGAAGAAGAAGAAAACAAAGAAGAAGAAGAAAACGAAGAAGAAGAAAAACAUUUUUGCACGUUUGCAAUUUCCUGCACAUGCAGAGGUUACUUCUGGUUUCUACCACAGUAGCCGCAAUACAGUUUUCAUUGAUACAUCGCACAAUAUUUGGCUACUUUGCAGAUUCAGUACAUUUAUUUAUACAUUUGUUUAGUCAUCAUGUCGGGAAUACCACCAGAUACCUGGCAGCCACCCACAGUGAGCCUGGAGACAACAAUGGGUACAAUUGUAGUGGAACUGUACUGGAGACAUGCUCCCAAAAUGUGCAAAAACUUUGCUGAGUUGGCCAGGAGAGGUUACUACAACAAGUUUCAUCGAAUUAUCAAGGACUUCAUGUUGCAGGGAGGAGACCCCACAGGAACAGAUAAACACAAAUACAGAUGGCCGUGGUGGUGCAUCCAUAUUUGGCAACCAGUUUGAAGAUGAACUAAACCCUGACUUGAAAUUCACAGGUGCAGGGAUCUUAGCAAUGGCCAAUGCAGGACCAGACACCAACGGAAGCCAGUUCUUCCUUACCCUAGGGCCUACUCAAUGGUUGGAUGGGAAGCACAGUAUCUUUGGGAGGGUGUGCCAAGUUAUAUCAGUUGUCAACCGCGUCGGCAUGGUUGAGACGAACUCACAAGACCGACCUGCCGAUGACAUAAAAAUCCUCAGAACAACUGUACCCAGCUGAGACUCAUUCAUACAACCAGCAACUACUUUCUUGUACAGUCAUUUUGUCAUGAUUUAUGCCUUUGAUUAAUUUUGUUAUUCUCAAAUCAAUAAUGUAGCCUAACCAUUGUGGUCAUUAUCACUAAAAUGAUUGAGUGACAUGGUAGAAAUGACACACUUGAGAAUAUGCCUGAUGUUUAUCUAAUGAUUGCAGAUACAUUUCAACCUGAAACUUGAACAGACUACCACUGGAGGGAGACAAACAACAGAACAUACAGUAAUGUUGGUCUUUUUCAUAAGACAUGAUAUAAAAAAAAAGCCUACUCUGUUGUGGACACAUUAUGUUUUGGUUAUAAUGUUUGGUAAUCUCCCUAUAGUUUGAGGGUUAAUCAAGUUCACCUAACACCUACCCUUAGCAGGUGCCAGGAAGUCAUAAACCCUGCCAAUUCCUCACCUUAGAACGUGAUUUUAAACCUAACCUUAACCAUACUGCUAACCUUAUACCUAACCUUAAAUUAAGACCAAAAAACGAAUUAAAUGUUUCAUUAAUUUUUACGAUAUUG
This is an RNA transcript of Oncorhynchus kisutch (coho salmon), 1426 nucleotides long. It is a transcript of the gene named peptidyl-prolyl cis-trans isomerase-like 1, with no coding region annotated. NCBI's taxonomy places the organism in Eukaryota, Metazoa, Chordata, Actinopteri, Salmoniformes, Salmonidae. The record is from RefSeq and is a predicted model, not a curated record. The transcript is spliced from 4 exons.